UCCUACGGGGGGCAGCAAUUAGGAAUCUUGCGCAAUGGGCGAAAGCCUGACGCAGCGACGUCGCGUGACUGAUGAAGUCUUUCGGGAUGUAAAAGUCUUUUCUGGGGGAAGAAGGAUGUGACGGUACCCCAGGAAUAAGCCCCGGCUAACUACGUGCCAGCAGCCGCGGUAAUACGUAGGGGGCGAGCGUUGUCCGAAUUCACUGGGCGUAAAGCGCGCGUAGGCGGGUUUUUAAGUUGGGGGUGAAAUCCCGAGGCUCAACCUCGGAACUGCCUCCAAAACUGGAAGCCUUGAGGUUUGGAGAGGGAAGUGGAAUUCCAGGUGUAGCGGUGAAAUGCGUAGAUAUCUGGAGGAACACCCGUGGCGAAGGCGGCUUCCUGGCCAUAUCCUGACGCUGAGGUGCGAAAGCUAGGGGAGCGAACGGGAUUAGAUACCCCGGUAGUCCA
RNAcentral lists this ribosomal RNA (446 nucleotides) under uncultured bacterium. RNAcentral describes it as "bacterial SSU rRNA". It matches the Rfam family "Bacterial small subunit ribosomal RNA", at positions 337 to 797 of the family's 1533-position model. The record is from RNAcentral.